GGGGAAUAUUGCACAAUGGGCGAAAGCCUGAUGCAGCGACGCCGCGUGAGUGAAGAAGUAUUUCGGUAUGUAAAGCUCUAUCAACAGGGAAGAAAAUGACGGUACCUGACUAAGAAGCCCCGGCUAACUACGUGCCAGCAGCCGCGGUAAUACGUAGGGGGCAAGCGUUAUCCGGAUUUACUGGGUGUAAAGGGAGCGUAGACGGCGAAGCAAGUCUGAAGUGAAAACCCAGGGCUCAACCCUGGGACUGCUUUGGAAACUGUUUUGCUAGAGUGUCGGAGAGGUAAGUGGAAUUCCUAGUGUAGCGGUGAAAUGCGUAGAUAUUAGGAGGAACACCAGUGGCGAAGGCGGCUUACUGGACGAUAACUGACGUUGAGGCUCGAAAGCGUGGGGAGCGAAC
RNAcentral lists this ribosomal RNA (400 nucleotides) under uncultured bacterium. RNAcentral describes it as "bacterial SSU rRNA". It matches the Rfam family "Bacterial small subunit ribosomal RNA", at positions 356 to 773 of the family's 1533-position model. The record is from RNAcentral.